RNAcentral lists this ribosomal RNA (940 nucleotides) under bacterium enrichment culture clone PAH55-P9. RNAcentral's name for it is "bacterial SSU rRNA". It matches the Rfam family "Bacterial small subunit ribosomal RNA", at positions 43 to 983 of the family's 1533-position model. The record is from RNAcentral.
GAGGCCUAACACAUGCAAGUCGAACGGGAUUCAGUAGCUUGCUACUGAUGAGAGUGGCGCACGGGUGAGUAACGCGUAUGCAACCUACCUCUUACAGGGGGAUAGCCCGGAGAAAUCCGGAUUAAUAUCCCAUGGUAUUUAUUGUCCGCAUGGAUAGUAAAUUAAAGAUUUAUCGGUAAGAGAUGGGCAUGCGUGACAUUAGUUUGUUGGUGAGGUAACGGCUCACCAAGACUACGAUGUCUAGGGGUUCUGAGAGGAUGAUCCCCCACACUGGUACUGAGACACGGACCAGACUCCUACGGGAGGCAGCAGUGAGGAAUAUUGGUCAAUGGGCGCAAGCCUGAACCAGCCAUCCCGCGUGAAGGAAGACGGCCCUAUGGGUUGUAAACUUCUUUUCUGCACCAAGAAUGGGCCUUACGUGUAAGGUUUUGACGGUAGUGCAGGAAUAAGCAUCGGCUAACUCCGUGCCAGCAGCCGCGGUAAUACGGAGGAUGCAAGCGUUAUCCGGAUUCAUUGGGUUUAAAGGGUGCGUAGGCGGAUAGGUAAGUCAGUGGUGAAAUCCUACAGCUCAACUGUAGAACUGCCAUUGAUACUGUCUAUCUUGAGUGUAAAUGAAGUGGGCGGAAUGUAGCAUGUAGCGGUGAAAUGCAUAGAUAUGCUACAGAACACCAAUUGCGAAGGCAGCUCACUAACAUACAACUGACGCUCAUGCACGAAAGCGUGGGGAUCAAACAGGAUUAGAUACCCUGGUAGUCCACGCUGUAAACGAUGAUUACUCGUUGUUGGCGAUACACAGUCAGCGACCAAGCGAAAGUGAUAAGUAAUCCACCUGGGGAGUACGAUCGCAAGGUUGAAACUCAAAGGAAUUGACGGGGGCCCGCACAAGCGGUGGAGCAUGUGGUUUAAUUCGAUGAUACGCGAGGAACCUUACCUGGGCUCA